GUGGGGAAUCUUGCGCAAUGGGCGAAAGCCUGACGCAGCGACGCCGCGUGAGGGAAGAAGGCCUUCGGGUUGUAAACCUCUUUCAGGAGGGACGAAGCUACUCGGGUGAACAGCCCAGAGGGUGACGGUACCUCCAGAAGAAGCCCCGGCUAACUACGUGCCAGCAGCCGCGGUAAUACGUAGGGGGCAAGCGUUGUCCGGAUUUACUGGGCGUAAAGAGCGUGUAGGCGGCCAAGCAGGUCUGUUGUGAAAACUGGAGGCUCAACCUCCAGACGUCGACAGAAACCUCCUGGCUAGAGUCCGGAAGAGGAGAGUGGAAUUCCUGGUGUAGCGGUGAAAUGCGCAGAUAUCAGGAAGAACACCAAUGGCGAAGGCAGCUCUCUGGGACGGUACUGACGCUGAGACGCGAAAGCGUGGGGAGCGAACAGGAUUAGAUACCCGAGUAGUCC
RNAcentral lists this ribosomal RNA (449 nucleotides) under uncultured bacterium. RNAcentral describes it as "bacterial SSU rRNA". It matches the Rfam family "Bacterial small subunit ribosomal RNA", at positions 354 to 796 of the family's 1533-position model. The record is from RNAcentral.